RNAcentral lists this ribosomal RNA (712 nucleotides) under uncultured bacterium. Its description in RNAcentral is "bacterial SSU rRNA". It matches the Rfam family "Bacterial small subunit ribosomal RNA", at positions 118 to 827 of the family's 1533-position model. The record is from RNAcentral.
UACACAAUUUGCCUCUAACUGGGGGAAAGUCGCUGGAAACGGCGAAUAAUCCCGCAUAAUAUCUUAUUAUGGCAUCGUAAAAAGAUUAAAGCUCCGGCGGUUAGAGAUGAGUGUGCGUCCCAUUAGCUAGUUGGUAAGGUAACGGCUUACCAAGGCGACGAUGGGUAGGGGGCGUGAGAGCGUGGUCCCCCACACGGGUACUGAGACACGGACCCGACUCCUACGGGAGGCAGCAGUAAGGAAUAUUGGUCAAUGGAGGAAACUCUGAACCAGCCAUGCCGCGUGCAGGAUGAAGGCCCUUUGGGUCGUAAACUGCUUUUAUCAGAGAAGAAUGACUGGGAUUCAUCCCGGGAGAGACGGUACCUGAUGAAUAAGCACCGGCUAACUCCGUGCCAGCAGCCGCGGUAAUACGGAGGGUGCAAGCGUUAUCCGGAAUCACUGGGUUUAAAGGGUACGUAGGCGGGCUAAUAAGUCAGAAGUGAAAUCUCGCAGCUUAACUGCGAAACUGCUUUUGAAACUGUUAGUCUUGAAUUCGGUUGAGGUGCGCGGAAUGCGUCAUGUAGCGGUGAAAUGCUUAGAUAUGACGUAGAACACCAAUUGCGAAGGCAGUGCACUGGACCGCGAUUGACGCUGAGGUACGAAAGCGUGGGUAGCGAACAGGAUUAGAUACCCUGGUAGUCCACGCCCUAAACGAUGCUAACUGGAUAUUCGG